Non-coding RNA from Triticum urartu, 125 nucleotides. NCBI's taxonomy places the organism in Eukaryota, Viridiplantae, Streptophyta, Magnoliopsida, Poales, Poaceae. The record is from Rfam.
AUCAUACUCUCUCGGUCUGGAAAUACUUGUCGGAGAAAUGGAUAAAAAUGGAUGUAUCUGGAACUAAAAAAUGUCUAGAUACAUCUAUUUCUCCGACAAGUAUUUCUGGACGGACGGAGUACUUA